This 22-nucleotide non-coding RNA is filed under the name Xenopus laevis (African clawed frog). The record is from RNAcentral. RNAcentral also lists the same sequence under 7 other names. Lineage: Eukaryota; Metazoa; Chordata; Amphibia; Anura; Pipidae.
GGCUGGGAAGGCAAAGGGACGU